This 423-nucleotide ribosomal RNA is filed under the name uncultured bacterium. Its description in RNAcentral is "partial 16S ribosomal RNA". It matches the Rfam family "Bacterial small subunit ribosomal RNA", at positions 359 to 773 of the family's 1533-position model. The record is from RNAcentral.
GAAUAUUGGACAAUGGGGGGAACCCUGAUCCAGCCAUGCCGUGUGUGUGAAGAAGGCCUUUUGGUUGUAAAGCACUUUAAGGGAGGAGGAGGCUGCUCUACCUAAUACCUAGAUAUAGUCGACGUUACUCGCCAAAUAAGCACCGACUAAGUCUAUGCCAGCAGCCGCGGUAAUACAGAGGGUGCAAGCGUUAAUCGGAUUUACUGUGCGUAACGCGCGCGUAGGUGGCCAAUUAAGUCAAAUGUGAGAUCCCCGAGCUUAACUUGGGAAUUGCAUUCGAUACUGGUUGGCUAGAGUAUGGGAGAGGAUGGUAGAAUUCCAGGUGUAGCGGUGAAAUGCGUAGAGAUCUGGAGGAAUACCGAUGGCGAAGGCAGCCAUCUGGCCUAAUACUGACACUGAGGUGCGAAAGCAUGGGGAGCAAAC